This is a long non-coding RNA of Xenopus laevis (African clawed frog), 930 nucleotides long. RefSeq lists it as uncharacterized. The transcript is spliced from 3 exons. The record is from RefSeq and is a predicted model, not a curated record. Lineage: Eukaryota; Metazoa; Chordata; Amphibia; Anura; Pipidae.
UGGCUCCGUGCUCUGCCACCCAGGCUCUGCGGGCUGCGCUUUUUGUACAAAAAAAAAAAAGUGGGGGGGUUUGGGCAACUAGUACAUUUAUUUUUCAAGCUCUUUGCUGGUUUAAGCGAGCGUGAGCUGUGAAUAAACAAAGGCAGUAAACAAGAAAAAAAAAAACCCUGAACAGAUUCCAGGAGGGUAAACUUCCAGCAAUAGAAGCAGCACGUCACUCUUUAGCAAAUUGACUCACUUAUUAUAUUCCCUUCCCUGUGCUCCGCACUCAUUCUGCCACCCAGAAUUUUAUCCAGCUGAUCAAUAUCUUCUGGCUGAAAUAUUCUUUGUUUUCCCAAUGUCGAAAUCUUUGCUUUGGUCUUAGAGUCAACAGUGAUUUAAAUCUUCAAUAAAACCUGCAAAGCGGAGUUACUGGGAGCCACGGCAGCAGCAGACAUGACAGUCCAUUUCUGUGCUUGAGCAGUUGGGAGAUAAGACACCUGGAUCAAAUGAUUUUCCCAGCCUUGGUUAAGUAUUUGACCCAGACCAAAAAAAUCUGCUUGGAAACAUGAAGCAUGACACUGCCUCGCAUGGUUUUGGGUUACUGGAAUGAUUUUGUGGAUGUCAUCAUAUUAUAACCUAAGCUUUGAGCAAUUAAAUACAUUUUCUGUUUUUUUAUACUAGCUCCUACUGAGGACGUGCAGGGCAUAGCUGUUUAUCCUCACUGUUGCAUUCCAUUAUAUUUACCUAAAAGUGUGCCUGUGUGAAUUUCUAGGCAGCACUCACGGGACAAGGACUAUUUGUAGCGUUCCCAAUUUUAGUCUAUGAGAAGCCAAUUUCAGUGCAGAUCAAGUCACUUGUAUAAUAGAGCUUUAUAAAGGUGUUCAAUUUGGUUUGACAUUAAAAAAAGCCUAAUGUAAAUAAAAUCAAAAUAAACUGGUUUUCCCUUAA